This 570-nucleotide ribosomal RNA is filed under the name Triticum aestivum (bread wheat). RNAcentral's name for it is "partial small subunit ribosomal RNA". The record is from RNAcentral. Lineage: Eukaryota; Viridiplantae; Streptophyta; Magnoliopsida; Poales; Poaceae.
AUGACGAGCCUCCUCCGGGAUCUCGGGGCGAACCCGACGGUGGUGGAACUGAACGAGGACCCUAGAGGGAAGGAGAUGGAGAAGGCGCUAGCGCGGCUCAUCGGCCGGAACCUGACGUGCCGGCGGUGUUCAUCGGCGGCAGGCUCGUCGGAUGCACCGACGAGGUCAUGUCCCUUCAUCUCGGCGGCAAGCUUGUCCCACUCCUUCGUAAUGCAGGUGUUGUCUGGGACUGCGUGCGAGGGCUUUGUAGAUAUUCGGCCUGAUGCAUUGGGCGCCAGAGAAGUAUGCGUACGUGCUCUGUUAUCCUUUUCUAUGAUGGAGACAAAGGAAACCAUGCAGAGGGCUUGCCAAGGCUCGCGUAGGUGGAGGUCGUCGUUUGGCGUCAUGAUGGCGUCAAUGGCGGAGGAGCAGCCAAGGUUGUCACCUCAAUCUGCUCUGAAGAUGGACCAGUGGAAAAUGGUGGCGACGACACAUGUUUACAUAAAGAGGGAGAAUGCCGGCAGCUGGAAUUCUGGUCUAGAUAAGGAGCAAAUAUUAGAGACCUAUUCUGCGCAACUCCAAAAGUCCUGA